GACGAACGCUGGCGGCGUGCUUAACACAUGCAAGUCGAACGAUGAAGCGGGUGCUUGCACUCGUGGAUUAGUGGCGAACGGGCGAGUAACACGUGAGUAACCUGUCCUUUUCUUUGGGAUAACGGCUGGAAACGGCUGCUAAUACUGGAUAUUCAGGCUGCAUCGCAUGGUGUGGUUUGGAAAGGUUUUUUCUGGGAUUGGGUGGGCUCGCGGCCUAUCAGCUUGUUGGUGGGGUGAUGGCUUACCAAGGCUUUGACGGGUAGCCGGCCUGAGAGGGUGGUCGGUCGCACUGGGACUGAGAUACGGCCCAGACUCCUACGGGAGGCAGCAGUGGGGAAGAUUGCACAAUGGACGAAAGUUUGAUGCAGCGACGCCGCGUGGAGGGUGGAGGCCUUCGGGUUGUGAACUCCUUUUUCUCGCGAAAAAGGCACAGUUUUGGCUGUGUUGAUGGUAGUGGGGGAAGAAGCGCCGGCUAACUACGUG
This 483-nucleotide ribosomal RNA is filed under the name uncultured bacterium. RNAcentral describes it as "partial 16S ribosomal RNA". It matches the Rfam family "Bacterial small subunit ribosomal RNA", at positions 28 to 507 of the family's 1533-position model. The record is from RNAcentral.